This is a non-coding RNA of Diceros bicornis minor, 73 nucleotides long. The record is from the annotation of a RefSeq genome assembly. Lineage: Eukaryota; Metazoa; Chordata; Mammalia; Perissodactyla; Rhinocerotidae.
GCCCUCUUAGUGCAGUUGGCAGCAUGUCAGUUUCAUAAUCUAAAGGUCCUGAGUUCAAACCUCAGAGAGGGCA